UCGGGACCCUGGGAUCAUAAUUUGAGCCGAAGGGAGAGGCUUAACCAACUGAGCCACCAAGUGUAACCGAGUCUGUCCCCUGCUCAACAUCUCUCAUCGUCUACUUCCCAGUGUCUACAGUCUCCUCUGCCACCCAGAACCAGCAGAGCCAAGUGCACCAGGACACGGCAGGCCCCCAGCAUUGCUCAGAUCUCUCCCUCUUGAACCCCAAAGCUUGAUGGCUACUUUUUCAGGGUGUCAGGAUUCAGGUCACAUUUUAUACUUUCUGGAAAGCCUUCCUGGCUUUCACUGUGGCCACCUGAGAGGAACUGGCCAUUCGCCCCCUGUGCCCCUCAGGUCAUUGAUAAAUAAGCCUUUAUCACCCAGAACUCUGUUUGCACUUUAUUUCACACAUCCUUUAGAUGUCUGACUCGCCCCUGCUCUGAGGGCAGGGCCAAUGUCUAACUAGCUCUUCUGGGAAGCAAUAGUGCCUAACAGUAGAUCUGGAGAAUGUUUGUUCAAUAGAAGUUUAUCGAACAGCAAUUUC
This is a long non-coding RNA of Canis lupus familiaris (dog), 526 nucleotides long. RefSeq lists it as uncharacterized. The record is from RefSeq and is a predicted model, not a curated record. NCBI's taxonomy places the organism in Eukaryota, Metazoa, Chordata, Mammalia, Carnivora, Canidae. The transcript has 3 exons.